GACGAACGCUGGCGGCGUGCUUAACACAUGCAAGUCGAACGGUGAACCUCUUCGGAGGGGAUCAGUGGCGAACGGGUGAGUAACACGUGGGCAACCUGCCCCCGGCUCUGGGAUAACUCCAAGAAAUUGGGGCUAAUACCGGAUGUUCACCGCUUCCCGCAUGGGUGGUGGUGGAAAGGGUUUCCGGCUGGAGAUGGGCCCGCGGCCUAUCAGCUUGUUGGUGGGGUAGUGGCCUACCAAGGCGACGACGGGUAGCCGGCCUGAGAGGGUGACCGGCCACACUGGGACUGAGACACGGCCCAGACUCCUACGGGAGGCAGCAGUGGGGAAUAUUGCGCAAUGGGCGGAAGCCUGACGCAGCGACGCCGCGUGGGGGAUGACGGCCUUCGGGUUGUAAACCUCUUUCAGCAGGGACGAAGCGCAAGUGACGGUACCUGCAGAAGAAGCACCGGCCAACUACGUG
This 463-nucleotide ribosomal RNA is filed under the name uncultured bacterium. RNAcentral's name for it is "partial 16S ribosomal RNA". It matches the Rfam family "Bacterial small subunit ribosomal RNA", at positions 28 to 507 of the family's 1533-position model. The record is from RNAcentral.